Molecule: ribosomal RNA, 395 nt
Filed under: uncultured bacterium
Lineage: Bacteria
Description: partial 16S ribosomal RNA
Rfam family: Bacterial small subunit ribosomal RNA
Source: RNAcentral
AAUAUUGCACAUUGGUGGAAACCCUGAUGCAGCAACGCCUCGUGAGCGAAGAAGGCCUUAGGGUCGUAAAUCUCUGUCCUAAGGGAAGAUAAUGACGGUACAUAAGGAGGAAGCCCCGGCUAAAUACGUGCUAGCUGCCGCGUUAAUACGCACGGGGCAAUUGUUAUCCGGAAUCAUUGGGCGUAAAGGGUGCGUAGGCGGCCUUAUGGGUCAGAGGUGAAAUCCUACGGCUUAACCGUAGUUAGCCUUUGAAACUGUAGGGCUUGAGUGCAGGAGAGGAGAGUGGAAUUCCUAGUGUAGCGGUGAAAUGCGUAGAUAUUAGGAGGAACACCAGUGGCGAAGGCGACUCUCUGGACUGCAACUGACGCUGAGGCACGAAAGCGUGGGUAGCGAAC